AUUGAACGCUGGCGGCAGGCCUAACACAUGCAAGUCGCACGAGUGGCGGACGGGUGAGUAAUGUCUGGGAAACUGCCUGACGGAUGGGGAUAACUACUGGAAACGGUAGCUAAUACCGCAUACCAUCGGAUGUGCCCAGAUGGGAUUAGCUUGUUGGUGGGAUAACGGCUCACCAAGGCGACGAUCCCUAGCUGGUCUGAGAGGAUGACCAGACACACUGGAACUGAGACACGGUCCAGACUCCUACGGGAGGCAGCAGUGGGGAAUAUUGCACAAUGGGCGCAAGCCUGAUGCAGCCAUGCCGCGUGUAUGAAGAAGGCCUUCGGGUUGUAAAGUACUUUCAGCGGGGAGGCGUUACCCGCAGAAGAAGCACCGGCUAACUCCGUGCCAGCAGCCGCGGUAAUAC
This 406-nucleotide ribosomal RNA is filed under the name uncultured bacterium. Its description in RNAcentral is "partial 16S ribosomal RNA". It matches the Rfam family "Bacterial small subunit ribosomal RNA", at positions 30 to 526 of the family's 1533-position model. The record is from RNAcentral.